Molecule: long non-coding RNA, 775 nt
Filed under: Mytilus galloprovincialis (Mediterranean mussel)
Lineage: Eukaryota; Metazoa; Mollusca; Bivalvia; Mytilida; Mytilidae
Source: RNAcentral
AAUUUAAAUAAUAUUCUAAUAUGACGUGCUUCUUUCGCUUUGUAAACAACACCGUGAUAAAAUUCUCGAUAUAUCUAUACUUAGCGCAGACUCCAAGAUGUACACAAAUGGCUGUUUAAAUAUGCCUCCCACGUAAAUCCACAUGUAUCGUAACCUAUGUGUAAACGGUUGUGGAUUUCGCUGUGUUAGCAAUUACAAUUGAAUAAAACCCUAAAGAACAUUUAUUCUGAUUCUGACGCAUAACAAAAAGAAUUUACACAUUAGAGAACGGAAAAAUGGACAAAAACAAAAUAAAUUAAAAUUCCGCGAAAUUCCAGUAAUGAUUUUGGCGCAUUAACGUCAUUUCAAAACAUGACGUCAUACGUAUGAAAACGUCAAAGCUGAAGGUUUUUCUAUUGCGUUUACCUUCUAAACUCGGAUACAACUGCAUUAAAAUAAAUUAUUGAGGUAGGUGUUGCUUGUUUUCUGUUCUAUUGCAUUAUUCGCACAUUUACUGAUUUCAGCAAGUCAACAUGGCGGCUCCAUGGUUACAACAUGUCAACAGUGAAUUUGACUGUAGCUUACGAUAAAAAAUGUAAAUUUAAAAUUGCAAAUGUUGGGUUUACUGAGAAGUAACAAAAGGAAUCACAUUUUUUUUUCUAGCGGUUAGUUAAGAAAUCAUUCAUGCAGGUUUAUUAAAUUUGUUUUACAUUUAUCGAACAGUGGGUAAAAUAGAACAGCCACACACACGGUAUACCCAUCAUCGCUUCAGUUUUUUAAUGAUCGUAUUUGUCCU